CUCUAUCCCUCGCCCGGGGCCGCCCUCCCUGCCGCUCCCUUAGGGGCUCUGCGACACCCGCCUCCGGGGGCGCCCCGCCCCCCGCCGCGCGUGCCUGGUUACGACAUGGCGCUAACGGCCCCUCCGGCCCGCCGAGCUCUGUUUUCUGCGGCGGCUUCGCUACUGCUGCUGGGGGCGGCGGCAGGAAGCUCUCAUUUCUUGGAUAAGACUCAACUCACAAAGAAAGGAGAUGCACACUUGAAACAAGAAGGUAUAAUUAGAAUGCACAACUCAGUGGCUCUCUCUGAACCCAUGAAAAUAACAUCUAUCCCAGAUGUUCCACAAACACCUCAUCAAAUACUUGGAAAAGAAAACUCCACUGUGAUUGUACUUCUGUAUUCCAUGGAAAUAAGAUUCACCUCUAUCAA
This 407-nucleotide long non-coding RNA is filed under the name Apteryx owenii (little spotted kiwi). RNAcentral's name for it is "lncRNA (ENSAOWG00000010446.1)". Lineage: Eukaryota; Metazoa; Chordata; Aves; Apterygiformes; Apterygidae. The record is from RNAcentral.